This is a transfer RNA of 84 nucleotides. It matches the Rfam family "tRNA". From Rfam's summary of the family: Transfer RNA (tRNA) molecules are approximately 80 nucleotides in length. The record is from Rfam.
GGGUCGAUGCCGAAGCGGUUAAUGGGGACGGACUGUUAAAUUCGUUGGCAUAUGUCUACGCUGGUUCAAAUCCAGCUCGGCCCA